Molecule: ribosomal RNA, 264 nt
Filed under: uncultured Bacteroidota bacterium
Lineage: Bacteria; Pseudomonadati; Bacteroidota
Description: uncultured Bacteroidetes bacterium partial 16S ribosomal RNA
Rfam family: Bacterial small subunit ribosomal RNA
Source: RNAcentral
GCUUAACACAUGCAAGUCGAGGGGUAGCAGGGUAGCAAUACCGCUGACGACCGGCGCACGGGUGAGUAACACGUAUCCAACCUUCCCAUUACUCGGGGAUAGCCUUUCGAAAGAAAGAUUAAUACCCGAUAGUACUUUUUUGAGGCAUCUCAAAACAGUUAAAGAUUUAUUGGUAAUGGAUGGGGAUGCGUUCCAUUAGAUUGUUGGUGAGGUAACGGCUCACCAAGUCUUCGAUGGAUAGGGGUUCUGAGAGGAAGGUCCCCC